Molecule: ribosomal RNA, 434 nt
Filed under: uncultured Butyrivibrio sp.
Lineage: Bacteria; Bacillati; Bacillota; Clostridia; Lachnospirales; Lachnospiraceae
Description: partial 16S ribosomal RNA
Rfam family: Bacterial small subunit ribosomal RNA
Source: RNAcentral
ACGGAAGGCAGCAGUGGGGAAUAUUGGACAAUGGGCGCAAGCCUGAUCCAGCGACGCCGCGUGAGCGAUGAAGUAUUUCGGUAUGUAAAGCUCUAUCAGCAGGGAAGAAAACGACGGUACCUGACUAAGAAGCUCCGGCUAAAUACGUGCCAGCAGCCGCGGUAAUACGUAUGGAGCAAGCGUUAUCCGGAUUUACUGGGUGUAAAGGGGGCGUAGACGGAAGUACAAGUCAGAAGUGAAAGCCCGGGGCUCAACCCCGGGACUGCUUUUGAAACUGUACAUCUAGAGUGCAGGAGAGGUAAGCGGAAUUCCUAGUGUAGCGGUGAAAUGCGUAGAUAUUAGGAGGAACACCAGUGGCGAAGGCGGCUUACUGGACUGUAACUGACGUUGAGGCCCGAAAGCGUGGGGAGCAAACAGGAUUAGAUACCCUGGUA